ACGGGUGAGUAACACGUAGGCAACCUGCCCUCAAGCUUGGGACAACUACCGGAAACGGUAGCUAAUACCGAAUACUUGUUUUCUUCGCCUGAAGGAAACUGGAAAGACGGAGCAAUCUGUCACUUGAGGAUGGGCCUGCGGCGCAUUAGCUAGUUGGUGAGGUAACAGCUCACCAAGGCGACGAUGCGUAGCCGACCUGAGAGGGUGAUCGGCCACACUGGGACUGAGACACGGCCCAGACUCCUACGGGAGGCAGCAGUAGGGAAUCUUCCGCAAUGGGCGAAAGCCUGACGGAGCAAUGCCGCGUGAGUGAUGAAGGUUUUCGGAUCGUAAAGCUCUGUUGCCAGGGAAGAACGCUUAGGAGAGUAACUGCUCCUGAGGUGACGGUACCUGAGAAGAAAGCCCCGGCUAACUACGUGCCAGCAGCCGCGGUAAUACGUAGGGGGCAAGCGUUGUCCGGAAUUAUUGGGCGUAAAGCGCGCGCAGGCGGUCAUUUAAGUCUGGUGUUUAAUCCCGGGGCUCAACCCCGGAUCGCACUGGAAACUGGGUGACUUGAGUGCAGAAGAGGAGAGUGGAAUUC
RNAcentral lists this ribosomal RNA (580 nucleotides) under uncultured bacterium. RNAcentral describes it as "bacterial SSU rRNA". It matches the Rfam family "Bacterial small subunit ribosomal RNA", at positions 102 to 669 of the family's 1533-position model. The record is from RNAcentral.